RNAcentral lists this ribosomal RNA (610 nucleotides) under Papiliotrema flavescens. RNAcentral's name for it is "partial large subunit ribosomal RNA". It matches the Rfam family "Eukaryotic large subunit ribosomal RNA", at positions 68 to 669 of the family's 3401-position model. Lineage: Eukaryota; Fungi; Basidiomycota; Tremellomycetes; Tremellales; Rhynchogastremaceae. The record is from RNAcentral.
GCUGCGCAUACGUAGCUACGGCGAGUGACCGGGAAGAGCUCAAAUUUGAAAUCUGGCGUGCUCAGUGCGUCCGAGUUGUAAUCUAUAGAGUCGUUUUCCGUGCCGGACUGUGUCCAAGUCCCUUGGAACAGGGUAUCAAAGAGGGUGAUAAUCCCGUACUUGACACAAUGACCGGUGCUCUGUGAUACGUCUUCUACGAGUCGAGUUGUUUGGGAAUGCAGCUCAAAAUGGGUGGUGAGUUCCAUCUAAAGCUAAAUAUUGGCGAGAGACCGAUAGCGAACAAGUACCGUGAGGGAAAGAUGAAAAGCACUUUGGAAAGAGAGUUAAACAGUACGUGAAAUUGUUAAAAGGGAAACGAUUGAAGUCAGUCGUGACUGAGAGGCUCAGCCGGUUCUGCCGGUGUAUUCCCCUCAGUCGGGUCAACAUCAGUUUUGUUCGGUGGAUAAGGGCAGUUGGAAGGUGGCACCCUCGGGUGUGUUAUAGCCAGCUGUCGCAUACAUCGGAUGAGACUGAGGAAUGCAGCUCGCCUUUAUGGCCGGGGUUCGCCCACGUUCGAGCUUAGGAUGUUGACAUAAUGGCUUUAAACGACCCGUCUUGAAACACGGACCCA